RNAcentral lists this ribosomal RNA (254 nucleotides) under uncultured bacterium. Its description in RNAcentral is "partial 16S ribosomal RNA". It matches the Rfam family "Bacterial small subunit ribosomal RNA", at positions 524 to 776 of the family's 1533-position model. The record is from RNAcentral.
UACGUAGGGUGCGAGCGUUAAUCGGAAUUACUGGGCGUAAAGCGUGCGUAGGCGGUUCCUCAAGUCCGUUGUGAAAUCCCCGGGCUUAACCUGGGAAUGGCAUUUUGGGACUGCAAGGCUCGAGUGCGGCAGAGGAGACUGGAAUUCCUGGUGUAGCAGUGAAGUGCGUAGAUAUCAGGAGGAACACCGAUGGCGAAGGCAGGUCUCUGGGCUGACACUGACGCUCAGGCACGAAAGCGUGGGGAGCAAACAGG